GACGAACGCUGGCGGCGUGCCUAAUACAUGCAAGUCGAACGCUUUUUCUUUCACCGGAGCUUGCUCCAUCGAAAGAAAAAGAGUGGCGAACGGGUGAGUAACACGUGGGUAACCUGCCCAUCAGAAGGGGAUAACACUUGGAAACAGGUGCUAAUACCGUAUAACACUAUUUUCCGCAUGGAAGAAAGUUGAAAGGCGCUUUUGCGUCAAUGAUGGAUGGACCCGCGGUGCAUUAGCUAGUUGGUGAGGUAACGGCUCACCAAGGCAACGAUGCAUAGCCGACCUGAGAGGGUGAUCGGCCACACUGGGACUGAGACACGGCCCAGACUCCUACGGGAGGCAGCAGUAGGGAAUCUUCGGCAAUGGACGAAAGUCUGACCGAGCAACGCCGCGUGAGUGAAGAAGGUUUUCGGAUCGUAAAACUCUGUUGUUAGAGAAGAACAAGGAUGAGAGUAAAAUGUUCAUCCCUUGACGGUAUCUAACCAGAAAGCCACGGCUAACUACGUGCCAGCAGCCGCAGUAA
RNAcentral lists this ribosomal RNA (523 nucleotides) under uncultured bacterium. RNAcentral describes it as "partial 16S ribosomal RNA". It matches the Rfam family "Bacterial small subunit ribosomal RNA", at positions 28 to 523 of the family's 1533-position model. The record is from RNAcentral.